AUGAGCAUGUUAGAUCAAAAAGUAAAUUGAUCCUUUUGUUCAAAAUUUUAUCAAUUCCUAUUUGUUAAAAACUGAUCCAUGCAUGUAAGCAUAAGGUACACGUGGCUUGAUUAUUAUGUCAACCAUACCCAUUUUUAACCGUGAAAAUGAAUUAAUUUUUAAUAGAAAUGACCGAUUUGCUCUUUGAUCUAAUGUAUAUAA
RNAcentral lists this microRNA precursor (201 nucleotides) under Gossypium raimondii (Peruvian cotton). Its description in RNAcentral is "miR8647 stem-loop (gra-MIR8647)". Lineage: Eukaryota; Viridiplantae; Streptophyta; Magnoliopsida; Malvales; Malvaceae. The record is from miRBase by way of RNAcentral.